RNAcentral lists this ribosomal RNA (550 nucleotides) under Bacillus pumilus. RNAcentral describes it as "bacterial SSU rRNA". It matches the Rfam family "Bacterial small subunit ribosomal RNA", at positions 90 to 628 of the family's 1533-position model. Lineage: Bacteria; Bacillati; Bacillota; Bacilli; Caryophanales; Bacillaceae. The record is from RNAcentral.
AGCUAGCGGCGGAGGGUGAGUACACGUGGGUAACCUGCCUGUAAGACUGGGAUAACUCCGGGAAACCGGAGCUAAUACCGGAUAGUUCCUUGAACCGCAUGGUUCAAGGAUGAAAGACGGUUUCGGCUGUCACUUACAGAUGGACCCGCGGCGCAUUAGCUAGUUGGUGAGGUAACGGCUCACCAAGGCGACGAUGCGUAGCCGACCUGAGAGGGUGAUCGGCCACACUGGGACUGAGACACGGCCCAGACUCCUACGGGAGGCAGCAGUAGGGAAUCUUCCGCAAUGGACGAAAGUCUGACGGAGCAACGCCGCGUGAGUGAUGAAGGUUUUCGGAUCGUAAAGCUCUGUUGUUAGGGAAGAACAAGUGCAAGAGUAACUGCUUGCACCUUGACGGUACCUAACCAGAAAGCCACGGCUAACUACGUGCCAGCAGCCGCGGUAAUACGUAGGUGGCAAGCGUUGUCCGGAAUUAUUGGGCGUAAAGGGCUCGCAGGCGGUUUCUUAAGUCUGAUGUGAAAGCCCCCGGCUCAACCGGGGAGGGUCAUGG